GCUGGGCGCAGUGGUGCACGCCUGUAAUCACAUCGGCUCCAGAGGCUGAGACAGGAGGAUCAUGAGGUCACACCAGUCUCCGCAAAAGCGAGGCCCUAAGCAACUCAGUGAGACCCUGUCUCUA
RNAcentral lists this small RNA (124 nucleotides) under Marmota monax (woodchuck). The record is from RNAcentral. Lineage: Eukaryota; Metazoa; Chordata; Mammalia; Rodentia; Sciuridae.